CCUACGGGACGCAGCAGUGGGGAAUAUUGCGCAAUGGGCGAAAGCCUGACGCAGCGACGCCGCGUGAGGGAUGAAGGUCUUCGGAUCGUAAACCUCUGUCAGCAGGGAAGCACGGUCACUGUGCUAAUCAGCAGUGAAUUGACGGUACCUGCAAAGGAAGCACCGGCUAACUCCGUGCCAGCAGCCGCGGUAAUACGGAGGGUGCGAGCGUUAAUCGGAAUUACUGGGCGUAAAGCGCUCGUAGGCGGUAUGUCAAGUCAAGGGUGAAAUCCCCGCGCUCAACGUGGGAACUGCCUUUGAAACUGGCAAACUGGAGUGUGUGAGAGGAUAGUGGAAUUCGAGGUGUAGGAGUGAAAUGCGUAGAUAUCUGGAGGAACAUCAGUGGCGAAGGCGACUAUCUGGCACAUAACUGACGCUGAGGAGCGAAAGCGUGGGUAGCAAACAGGAUUAGAUACCCCAGUAGUC
This 465-nucleotide ribosomal RNA is filed under the name uncultured bacterium. Its description in RNAcentral is "partial 16S ribosomal RNA". It matches the Rfam family "Bacterial small subunit ribosomal RNA", at positions 338 to 795 of the family's 1533-position model. The record is from RNAcentral.